GCCGAUGUGAUGGAAUGGUAGACAUGAGUGAUUCAAAAUCACUUGCCUUCGCGGCGUGGCGGUUCGAGUCCGCCCAUCGGUACCA
This 85-nucleotide transfer RNA is filed under the name Sulfurimonas sediminis. RNAcentral's name for it is "Sulfurimonas sp. S2-6 tRNA-Leu". It matches the Rfam family "tRNA". Rfam says of the family: Transfer RNA (tRNA) molecules are approximately 80 nucleotides in length. Their secondary structure includes four short double-helical elements and three loops (D, anti-codon, and T loops). Further hydrogen bonds mediate the characteristic L-shaped molecular structure. tRNAs have two regions of fundamental functional importance: the anti-codon, which is responsible for specific mRNA codon recognition, and the 3' end, to which the tRNAs corresponding amino acid is attached (by aminoacyl-tRNA synthetases). tRNAs cope with the degeneracy of the genetic code in two manners: having more than one tRNA (with a specific anti-codon) for a particular amino acid; and 'wobble' base-pairing, i.e. permitting non-standard base-pairing at the 3rd anti-codon position. The record is from RNAcentral. Lineage: Bacteria; Pseudomonadati; Campylobacterota; Epsilonproteobacteria; Campylobacterales; Sulfurimonadaceae.